This 447-nucleotide ribosomal RNA is filed under the name uncultured bacterium. RNAcentral describes it as "partial 16S ribosomal RNA". It matches the Rfam family "Bacterial small subunit ribosomal RNA", at positions 29 to 523 of the family's 1533-position model. The record is from RNAcentral.
AACGAACGCUGGCGGCAGGCUUAACACAUGCAAGUCGAGCGCCCCGCAAGGGGAGCGGCAGACGGGGGAGUAACGCGUGGGAAUCUACCUUUUGCUACGGAAUAACUCAGGGAAACUUGUGCUAAUACCGUAUGUGUCCUUCGUGAGAAAGAUUUAUCGGCAAGAGAUGAGCCCGCGUUGGAUUAGCUAGUUGGUGAGGUAAUGGCUCACCAAGGCGACGAUCCAUAGCUGGUCUGAGAGGAUGAUCAGCCACAUUGGGACUGAGACACGGCCCAAACUCCUACGGGAGGCAGCAGUGGGGAAUAUUGGACAAUGGGCGCAAGCCUGAUCCAGCCGUGCCGCGUGAGUGAUGAAGGCCCUAGGGUUGUAAAGCUCUUUCACCGGUGAAGAUAAUGCCGGUAACCGGAGAAGAAGCCCCGGCUAACUUCGUGCCAGCAGCCGCCGUAA